ACCCUGGUCGCUAGGCUAGGCAGCGCCUGAGGGUCAAGCCCUUCUGGGGUCUCCGGGGCCGGGGCCUUUCCCUGGGGCAGAAGGCGGCGAGCAGAAGGCUUGGCAAAGCCCCGUGGCGCGGAGGGGCGCCUGCAGGUGUGGGAAGGGGCGCUGGAAAGAGGCGGCCCUGGCAGCAGCUGGGCGGGGGCAGCCAGAAAAUUAAACUGGCUGCUCUUACUGAAGCCGCAGGGAGAUGGUGCAUCCGCUCAGGAAACGUGGAUGAGAACUGGACGAGAUUGAAACGGGGAGCUGGCUUGGGCUUCUGGGAGCCUGGAGUGGGCACGGCGGUGGUGGGCAGGCCGCCCAAGACAAGGGUAGGGGUACCGCCGCCCCCGGCAGCGCGGCCCCGGCCCACACAGGGGCCGGAGCUGGGACUUCCAGAAGGGAAUGCAGGGGGCUCUGCAGCCGGGAGGGGGCCGCGGGAGCGGGGGCGGCGGCGCACCUGAACACCGGGCUUGCGGAUUGGCUGAUGGAAUUCGCAGAGGAGGCGGAGUCUGGCCACUGUGCAAAUCAUCACGUCUUCUGGCCUCGCCUGGAGGCCUUUGGAGCUCCUGAUUGCAUGCUCAGGGCUCGACCCACCGGAAAGGCGCUCUCACCGCUCAUGAAUUGCAAUGAAUACUAAUACAAGUAAUCCACACUGAACUGUCAGUCCUAUGAUCUGCCAAGUUCAUUAAUUCCAGGCAAGGCACGCUCCGUUGGCGGGAGUGACGGGAGACGGAUGUAUGAACCUCUUGGACCAGGACCUCAUGGCAACCAAGCCCACAAUCAUUAUACAAUCACGGGACUCUUGGCUUAUAUCCAUGUCUUCUUGACAUCCUUAAAAUCAACCCAAUAGUGGAUUUGGCUAAACCACCUGUGACAGCAGGUGACUGUGUGACCUCUGACACUAACCCAGGAGCUACUCUUCCCUCCUUCCCUAGGGUUCUGGAGGGUCUGCCUUUGGCUUCUCACCUGGAGCUUGAGCUCAGAGGUAGCUGUGACAGACUGACCCCCUGACCUCACUUGUUGCGUCCAACGACACUCUUCCAGGCCUCUGUCUUUGUGAGGCAAUCCAGGAUAUGUCCCCACCUUUCCUUCUUGAGCCCAGGGCCAAUGUGUUUCAGGCAAAGUGAUUUCAUCCAGUCUCUUAGUUUUACUCAGUUUUAUUUUUGGCCCUUUGCUGCCGUGGGAUGAGUUAAUUCUAUUCCCUAGGUGAUAGCUCACGGUCAUCAUUAGUCCUGGCUAGUCCCCUCUCGUUUUAUGUAUUCCCCUUUACUCUAUGAGUCCCUCCCAUUUCCCUGCCCCAGAGGCAGCCAUCCUAGUAUAUCUUUUUAUUUGUAUGCAUUCUGCAGUGCAGGGUUUUGUAGGCGCGUAUUGCCACCAAGCAUGGAGCAUCGCAUAGUGCCUUGUUCUUUUAUUACCCUCUUUAGGUGCAUGUUAUUUAAUGUGUCUGGGGACAGGAUCAAUGGAUACAACAUGUCAGAGAGUGGUAGUGCCUUAAGAGUUCACUGAGACUCUCUGCGCUGAUGAUAAUGGAAGUGACUGCACCGAGUCAUGUUUCCUAGAACAGACCCUCAGGAUUGUGAGCCAUGGCACCCUGAUGAGGCACGGCUGCCCGCAGGCCUGGGUCCUCACCUCAGCUCUGCGGGACUUACCAAGAGCUCUGGCAGGUCUUUCGCCCUCUGACCGUGUCCUCAUCCAGUAAAUAACAGGUUAACUCAGGGCCCUUCGAUGGUUUCUUCUACCUUAAACAGUCUUUGAAAGCUGUUGUCUAGGAUUCACCAGCCCUAGAAUGUAUUUAGUCUCUGAGAUUCCGACUGAACACCCACUGCGAAGCCAGGCCGUCUAGGUUCCAAUUCCAGCUUCCCCGCUUGCUACGGGACAUUAGACAAAUUACUUUUCAUUCUUAAAAUGGAGGUGGUGGGGUGCCUGGCUGGCCCAGUAAGCAGAGCGUGUGACUCUUGAUCUCGGGGUUGUGAGUUCGAGCCCCGUGUUGGGCCCUGCACUGACAGUGUGGAGCCUGCUUGAGAUUCUCUCUCUCCUCUCUCUCCCUGCCCACCCCCCCAUGCUUUCUCUUUCAAAAUAAAUAAACUAAAAAAAUUUUUUUUAAUAAAAAUGGAGAUAGCCAUAGCACCUACUGUCUGAGGGGGAGAUUAAGUGAGUUAAUACAGGUGAACAGUGCCUGGCAUCUACUAAGCGUUCAGUAAGGUUAUUGCUGUUUUUAUUUAAACCCUAUAAUAACCCUAUGAAGUAGUGUAAUUAGUUUCAUUUUACAGACGACAAGACCAAGGUUCAAGGAGCAAAGCAAUUUGCCCAGGCUUGCGUAGUAGUAUUGCUGGGAGCCAAUUCCAGGUCUCCAGACUCUGAAUGCUGUGCCCUUCCCCCCGCAGACAGACACAAGACCUCAAUCCCCAGUGUGCAACCUGAAGUUGUUGCGCAAAACCUUCUCGCUGCUGAUCUGAUGCGAGGUGACCCAGGGGCCAUUGUGGAGACAGCCGCUGGCCCUGGUGGUCUUUUCGGUCUUCAUCGGCAUCCUUCUCCCAUACCGUGACCCCUUCUAAGGAAGAACCUGCUUCCUCCGGGGGGUUCGUGGGUGUUCAUGUUCGCCAGGCAGCCUCUGAGCCGCCCCGAAUCCCAAGGUCAGGCCUGUUGGUAGCAUAUACAUUCAGCCGGGAUGUGCCAGAAGAGAGCGGGCCCGACGAGUCAGACCUUGGGUUCUAGUCCCGGCUGUGCCAUUUCCUCUGGGCUAAGUUUGCUUUAGUUUCCACAUCUGUACAAUGGGCAGUAACGCUGAACAAAGUUGCACGAGCACUAAGUUUUAAGAGACUCUUCCAAUCUUGACCAAAUGCUAGCAGUUGCCCGAUCCCUGUAGAACAAAAUGCCUGUUAUAUAGCCUGAUGUGGCCUGAAAUGACUUGUCCCCCACUGUGUGCAUUUAACAUUUUUCCUUUCCCCUCCGGGAAGAGGACUGUCUGGACCUCUGCUAUCGUUCCAAAGAAACCACCUCAUUCUUUUGGGGGAGUUGCCAAAUCCUAGAAUGUCAUUGCUGGAAAGGACCUUGUGGGCCUUCUGGUCCCAGCGUGGCAAACUUGUCUCUCAAGGGCCACCCCCGCCUGAAGCGGUAAGGGAGGCCGGGUCGGAGCUCCAACGGAAGGAAGAGCACCGUGGUCCUUCUGCUCCAGGUACAGCCCGGAGGGGAUGCAGGCCGCCACGUGAGCUCCGUGCCACCUCCAGCUCUGCUGCCUCCCACAGAGGUGCAAGCCGAGUACAUGAAGGUCUCUUGUCAUCUUUCACCUGACCCUCAGGGCUACCAGAUCUGCCAGCCACGUUUGACACAGGAGGUGUCCGCCUGUUUGUUGCUCAAGAGUUCCAACCUGGCCACAGUAAGGAAGUGAUACAGUGGAGCAGAGGAUCGGGGGACCGCCUCGAAGCUGGGAGGGACACAAACCACCGCCUGAAUCUGACCUGCACCGACUCCUGGAGCCGUGGACUGUUUGCUCUCUGUCUGAGGCUUUAUCUGCCAGGGAGAUGGGCAAGCGGCCAGGGCCCUCUCAGGUGAGGGGUUGAACAGCCAGGCGGCGGCACGCUGCCAUACCAGAUGUCAUGGCUGGUCACUCAGAGGAGCUCUGGGCCAGGAGUCAGGAGGCCGAGGGCCGGGAGAUGGCUCCAGCUGGGCUCCAUGCAUCUGAGCGACUCUCUCCCCCACAACCCUUCACUUCAGGCCCUCCAAGUGUGGAGUAAAGGGCUGGGCAGCAGAAGGAUUUCUCAUCCGUGCUGCACGAGUCUCGCAGACAUUUGUGUUUAAAAUAUAUACACAUAGGUCGAACGAUUUUCUUAAAGUAUUUUUUUAAAGAUAAAACCUAUUCAACCAUAUGCAUAUUAACAUGCUGAAGUUAAUCUGCUUUUAGGUUGUUUUGGGGUAGACUUCCCUGUCACUUCUGGAAUUGCAACAUGUUAAAAAAUGUAAUCAUUUGCAUUUACUUCUCUCUAUGACCAAAAUACGGGAAAAAAUGGGUUCUAAGGUCAAUCUAAGACCGCAUUCAUCAAAACAUUACUUUUCUUGUCUUUAUAAGCCAGUAUUAUCCAGCAGAAUUCACACUUUUUAUAGCAAUAUCAUCUAAACUGUUUUAUGCAAUUUAUAUUUCUUAUAGAAGAUUUCUUUCCAAAAAUACACUGGGCUAGUUUUCACCUUUGAAAAUCACCAUCCCCAAUAACCUCUAAUUCCUCCUCUGGCUCGGACUUUCCACUCCUCUCCAAUUCUAAUCCCUGGACAAAUUCAUAGGGUCUUAAACUUAGUCCACAGAGAACCUUGAAACCUCUUGCCUUUACUUUGACACAUGAGGCUUUUUUCUUCAUAUAACUAGCUUUGUACCCAAAUCCCAUUCUUCAGCACUCAGCUCAAGUACAACCUCUUCUAUACAAAACACUUAACAUGGUCUUGGACCUAAGCCUCUGUUUCUUCAUCUGCAAAACAUGAUAGCAGAACCUCCCUCAAGUGGUGAGGUUUAAGUGAACUGGUGGAAGGUGUAUCUAAAAUACCAAAACAUCGACACAUGAGUGCAAGGAGCGCUCACCAUUCUAUUGUCUCUAUUACUGUCUCUCGUGUUAUCGUCACAGUGGAAAAGACUUUGGAGUCAAUGAAGUCUCAGUUCUACCAUGCAAUAAAUGUGUGACCUCAGGCAAAGAAUUUGGCCCAGUAUUCUCAAUAGGGUAGUAAUGCCUCCUAGUGGGUGGUUGGGGAAUUGAUGUGGUGUUUUUAGGACUGUCCCAUUGGUCACGGAGCAUAACCGGCUUUAGGAGAAGGGGACAGAGAUACUAGAUGUCUGGCACACAAAGGAUUGCCCAUGUCGUGGGACUGGGCCAAUAUGGGUCAGGUACAUAGUAUGAAAGGUGCCUGGAUAAGGCCAUUAUUAAAGAGAAUGAGAAAAUGGACAAAAGACAUUGUCUAGAAAUAAUUGAAUUGCCCUGUACAUUCAGACUACUCAAUUCUUCCUAAUUCCUAAUUUCCUAAUUCCUAAUUCCAGUUAUUCCUCUUCUUCUAUCAAGGGAUAUGUGCUAUUUAAUACACAAUAUUUUGGUGCCAGGAACUGUUCUGAGCGUGUAUCAAUUCACUUAAAAACCUCCUAAACCCAGGGGACAGGUACUCAUCAUUUACUCCCCUCCCCCUACUCCAUGUGAUAAGGAAGUUAUUUUUGACAUUACAGUGUUAAGGCCCAGCACAUCCGUGAGAACACUGUGUGUACUUCAUUUCUCCAAUUCGUCAGUGUGUUGUCUUGGCAUGUUAUCCCUACCCCCACGUCUUAUCACAUUCAAGUAAGUCUGAACGAAUCUCUCAUGACUUCCUGGCUCUAGUUUUUAUUCUGGUGUCUACAUGUGCCUUCACUUUCAUUUUCCUGUAAGGCAAGUAUGGAAUGGUUUCAAGCAGGUUCAAGCAUCUGACUUAUGUCUUCUGGCAGUUACACCUGACUUUCAUAAAGAAAUGCAUACCUUUAAUAAAAUGCUUUCCUUUUUUUAUCUUAGUUAAGGCUUCAUCUUGAUUUUUUUUUAUAAUGAACAUAGAAAAUGGACUUCACUUUCAAAGAGUCAAGGAUCUUUUACAAUUUUUUUUAUUUGUAUUUUUUUAUUUUUUACUGUCCCUAUCUGAGCUUCUUGAGUAAUGGGAAAUAAUAACCCCAAUAUCAUGGAGUUGGUAAUGAGAAAAAGCACCACACGUGUGCUCAGCAUACAAUAAUUUGAGUUCCCUUCCCGUCUGAUUGUCUACCUUUUCUCUCCACACCUUGCUCAAGGGGGAUAUCCCCAACACCAACACUGUGAAUGUGCUGAAAGAAGGCUCAAGCCAAGUGCCAUUUUCUGGUGACAACAAUCUCAUCCAGCUGUUAGGUGACACCAGAGCAGGUGCCUAAGGGACGCUGGAUUUUCAGUCCAGCCCCACAGCCUCUCUACAGAAGCUGCCUCUCCCUGCAAGAUUAAGAGGCAAGAACAGGGAUGGGCACAGGGUAUGGCCAGUGGGCAGGAUCCCAGGCCAAGGGCAUGGAUAGGCUUUGUUCCAUAUACAAGGGAGGCCUGGGGUAAGGAAAAGACAAAUAGACCAAUAGGACGACUGUGGGAUCAGAAGUAGAUCUUAAUCCUUACUGCUCUUUAGAAUCACCUGAGGAACUUUUAAAGUGUACAGACAUCAAGUUCCCACCUCAGAUAAAAUGUAUCAGGACCUCUGGGGACCAGGGUCCAGGUGUUAGUGAUUUUUCAGAGGUUUUCCAGGUGAUUCCAAUAUGUAGGCAAAGAGUAGAAAGUCACUGACCUACAGACUCAUCAAUGAUACCAUGUUAGGUCUGUUUUGUUAUCCCCAACUUUACAAGAAAGAAAUUAAGGAAAAUAAGUGACUUGCCCCAGGCACACAGCCAAAAGAUGGAAAUCUGAAUCCAGACUGGACUAAUUUGA
This is a long non-coding RNA of Acinonyx jubatus (cheetah), 6455 nucleotides long. RefSeq lists it as uncharacterized. The record is from RefSeq and is a predicted model, not a curated record. The transcript has 3 exons. Lineage: Eukaryota; Metazoa; Chordata; Mammalia; Carnivora; Felidae.